AGCGGAGCGUGUGGUUUAAUUCGAGGCUACGCGAAGAACCUUACCUGGGAGUGACAUGGUGGUAGUACGGAAGCGAAAGCGGAAGGACCCUUCGGGGAGCCAUCACAGGUGCUGCAUGGUUGUCGUCAGCUCGUGCCGUGAGGUGUUCGGUUAAGUCCGCAAACGAGCGCAACCCUCGGUGCUAGUUAUAAGUGUCUAGCAUGACUGCCCGUGACAAACGGGAGGAAGGUGGGGAUGACGUCAAAUCAGCAUGGCCUUAAUAUCCAGGCACAC
Molecule: ribosomal RNA, 273 nt
Filed under: uncultured bacterium
Lineage: Bacteria
Description: partial 16S ribosomal RNA
Rfam family: Bacterial small subunit ribosomal RNA
Source: RNAcentral